Molecule: microRNA precursor, 144 nt
Filed under: Gossypium hirsutum (cotton)
Lineage: Eukaryota; Viridiplantae; Streptophyta; Magnoliopsida; Malvales; Malvaceae
Description: MIR7502 microRNA precursor family
Rfam family: MIR7502 microRNA precursor family
Source: Rfam by way of RNAcentral
UAGUAAAAAUUUCAUUCAUUUUUACUGUUAAAAUUGACAUUAUUAACAAAAUAACCAAACAGUUACACUGCUGUGCUAUAUGUACCUCACUUUGAUAUACAAAAACCAAUUUUUAGCAGUAGAAAUGAAUGAAUUUUUUUACUA